GGAUCAUUGUCGAAAUCGAACGGAAGAACGACCCGCGAAUCGUCAUUGCGUAGUAGACAGAGCCCGUGAGCACCUAACGCUCAUGGGGCUCCCGUCGCGUCGGCGCGGGUGUACUCGAGACCCGCGUCGUGCCGGCGGACAAACAACGUCAGCACGGAUCGUGCCAAGGAGCUGCAUGGAGAGAAUCGUCGUCCCACGCCUUUGAUAGUCCUCGAUGCGGGACGGGGGACGUACGCAAUCUCUACUCAAGUCUAAACGACUCUCGGCAACGGAUAUCUCGGCUCUUGCAUCGAUGAAGAACGUAGCGAAAUGCGAUACUUGGUGUGAAUUGCAGAAUCCCGUGAACCAUCAAUUCUUUGAACGCAAGUUGCGCCCGAAGCCACACAGGCCGAGGGCACGCCUGCCUGGGUGUCGUGAAUCCCCUUGCCCCUGGGCACCCGCACGAGCAUUGGCGGGGAUAUAUGCUGGGGCGCAGAAUAUGGUCUCCCGUGGGAUCGGCGUGCACGGCAUGUCGAGGUGCGGUUGGCCGAAAAUCGAGCAUGGCGGUGACGGGCACCACGGCGUUCGGUGGAUCGAAUGAGAUUGGCUGCGCCGUGGGCUCGGCAUGCGGCGGGCUCCGGACUUUGAAUAUCCCCGAGUGCGAUCCCAGGUCAGGCGGGGCUACCCGCUGAGUUUAAGCAUAUCAAUAAGCGGAGGAAAAGAAACUAACGAGGAUUCCCUUAGUAGCGGC
Molecule: ribosomal RNA, 730 nt
Filed under: Miconia uninervis
Lineage: Eukaryota; Viridiplantae; Streptophyta; Magnoliopsida; Myrtales; Melastomataceae
Description: eukaryotic LSU rRNA
Rfam family: 5.8S ribosomal RNA (bases 258-414)
Source: RNAcentral